This 253-nucleotide ribosomal RNA is filed under the name uncultured bacterium. Its description in RNAcentral is "partial 16S ribosomal RNA". It matches the Rfam family "Bacterial small subunit ribosomal RNA", at positions 524 to 776 of the family's 1533-position model. The record is from RNAcentral.
UACGGAGGGUGCAAGCGUUAUCCGGAUUCACUGGGUUUAAAGGGUGCGUAGGUGGGCAGUUAAGUCAGUGGUGAAAUCUCCGGGCUCAACCCGGAAACUGCCAUUGAUACUAUCUGUCUUGAAUACCGUGGAGGUCAGCGGAAUAUGUCAUGUAGCGGUGAAAUGCUUAGAUAUGACAUAGAACACCAAUUGCGAAGGCAGCUGGCUACACGAAUAUUGACACUGAUGCACGAAAGCGUGGGGAUCAAACAGG